This 476-nucleotide ribosomal RNA is filed under the name uncultured bacterium. RNAcentral's name for it is "SSU rRNA". It matches the Rfam family "Bacterial small subunit ribosomal RNA", at positions 26 to 518 of the family's 1533-position model. The record is from RNAcentral.
AGGACAAACGCUGGCGGGGUGCAUGAGACGUGCAAGUCGAACGAGGUGCCAUCGGGCUUGCUCGAUGGUUACCUAGUGGCGGACGGCUGAGUAACGCGUAGGUGACCUACCCGGAAGUGGGGAAUAACUGCCCGAAAGGGUGGCUAAUACCGCAUGUGGUCGGCGAUUCGAUUCGCCGUCUAAAGGAGCAAUUCGCUUCCGGAGGGGCCUGCGUCCGAUUAGCUAGUUGGUGGGGUAACGGCUCACCAAGGCGACGAUCGGUAGCUGGUCUGAGAGGAUGAUCAGCCAGACUGGGACUGAGAACGGCCCAGACUCCUACGGGAGGCAGCAGUCGGGAAUUUUGCCCAAUGGACGAAAGCCUGACGCAGCAACGCCGCGUGAGGGAUGACGGCCUUCGGGUUGUAACCUCUUUUGUCUAGGGACGAUGAUGACGGUACCUGACGAUAAGCCACGGCUAACUACGUGCCAGCAGCCGC